RNAcentral lists this ribosomal RNA (253 nucleotides) under uncultured bacterium. RNAcentral describes it as "partial 16S ribosomal RNA". It matches the Rfam family "Bacterial small subunit ribosomal RNA", at positions 524 to 776 of the family's 1533-position model. The record is from RNAcentral.
GACAGAGGGUGCAAACGUUGUUCGGAAUUACUGGGCGUAAAGCGAGUGUAGGCGGUGCGGUAAGUCGGAUGUGAAAGCCCCGGGCUCAACCCGGGAAGUGCACUCGAUACUGCCACGCUAGAGUAUCGGAGAGGUUGGUGGAAUUCUCGGUGUAGAGGUGAAAUUCGUAGAUAUCGAGAGGAACACCGGUGGCGAAGGCGGCCAACUGGACGAAUACUGACGCUGAGACUCGAAAGCGUGGGGAGCAAACAGG